This 104-nucleotide small nuclear RNA is filed under the name Spermophilus dauricus (Daurian ground squirrel). Lineage: Eukaryota; Metazoa; Chordata; Mammalia; Rodentia; Sciuridae. The record is from RNAcentral.
GUACUCAUUUCAGCAACACAUACUAAAAUUGAAAUAUGAUACAGAGAUUAGCAUGGCCACUGUAGAAGGAUGACAAGCAAAUUUGUGAAGCAGUCCAUAUAAAA